This 234-nucleotide ribosomal RNA is filed under the name Triticum aestivum (bread wheat). RNAcentral's name for it is "partial small subunit ribosomal RNA". The record is from RNAcentral. Lineage: Eukaryota; Viridiplantae; Streptophyta; Magnoliopsida; Poales; Poaceae.
AUGGACUCUAGGCCUCUCAGCGCGUCAAAGAUCGAGCUUAGACGUAGGUUGAAGAGAAAGCUCCUUGGGCUUUCGUUGCUGGAACGAACGAUUGCGAGACAGAAAUCACGUCUUCUUCACAUCAAAGAUGGAGAUGCCAAUACCAGAUUCUUUCACCAACAUGCGCGACAUCGACAGAGAAAGAAUGUGUUGCUGUCUUUGGCGCACAACAACGAGCACAUUACUGGCCAAUAG